UGCUAGUCGCACGAGUUUAGACUCGUGGCAUAUAGCUCAGUAACACGUGGCCAAACUACCCUCUGGAGGAGGAUACUCUCGGGAAACUGAGGCUAAUCCUCUAUACCGCAUCCCAACUGGAAAUUGGUGGGAUGCUGGAAACGCCCUUUCGGGUGCCAGAGGAUGUGGCUGCGGUCGAUUAGGUAGACGGUAGGGUAACGGCCUACCGUGCCGAUAAUCGGUACGGGUUGUGAGAGCAAGAGCCCGGAGACGGAUUCUGAGACAAGAAUCCGGGCCCUACGGGGCGCAGCAGGCGCGAAACCUUUACACUGUACGGAAGUGCGAUAAGGGAACUCCCAGUGCGAGGGCAUAGAGCCCUCGCUUUUCUGGACCGUAGGGAGGUCCAGGAAUAAGGGCUGGGCAAGGCCGGUGCCAGCCGCCGCGGUAAUACCGGCAGCCCGAGUGAUGGCCGAUUUUAUUGGGCCUAAGGCGUCCGUAGCUGGCCAGGCAAGUCCGUUGGGAAAUCCGCGCGCUUAACGUGCGGGCGUCCAGCGGAAACUGCGUGGCUUGGGACCGGAAGACCCGAGGAGUACGUCCGGGGUAGGAGUGAAAUCCUGUAAUCCUGGACGGAC
This 611-nucleotide ribosomal RNA is filed under the name uncultured archaeon. Its description in RNAcentral is "bacterial SSU rRNA". It matches the Rfam family "Archaeal small subunit ribosomal RNA", at positions 52 to 657 of the family's 1478-position model. The record is from RNAcentral.